This 753-nucleotide ribosomal RNA is filed under the name uncultured marine haptophyte. RNAcentral describes it as "bacterial SSU rRNA". It matches the Rfam family "Bacterial small subunit ribosomal RNA", at positions 551 to 1312 of the family's 1533-position model. The record is from RNAcentral. Lineage: Eukaryota; Haptophyta.
UCAUUGGGCGUAAAGCGUCUGUAGGUUGUUUAAUAAGUCUGUUGUUAAAGACUAGGGCUCAACCCUAGAAAAGCAAUGGAAACUACUAGACUUGAGUAUGGCAGGGGUAGAGGGAAUUUCUAGUGUAGCGGUGAAAUGCGUAGAUAUUAGAAAGAACACCAGCGGCGAAAGCGCUCUACUGGGCCAUUACUGACACUCAGAGACGAAAGCUAGGGUAGCAAAAGGGAUUAGAUACCCCUGUAGUCCUAGCCGUAAACGAUGGAUACUAGAUGUUGUGUUUAAUAUGCAGUAUCGUAGCUAACGCGUUAAGUAUCCCGCCUGGGGAGUACGCUCGCAAGGGUGAAACUCAAAGGAAUUGACGGGGGCCCGCACAAGCGGUGGAGCAUGUGGUUUAAUUCGAUGCAACGCGAAGAACCUUACCAGGACUUGACAUACUACAAAUUUCUUUGAAAAAAGGAAGUGCCUUCGGGAAUGUAGAUACAGGUGGUGCAUGGCUGUCGUCAGCUCGUGUCGUGAGAUGUUGGGUUAAGUCCCGCAACGAGCGCAACCCUUAUUUUUAGUUACUAAUUAAUUAGGUUUUCUAGAAAGACUGCCGGUGACAAACCGGAGGAAGGUGAGGAUGACGUCAAGUCAGCAUGCCCCUUAUGUCCUGGGCUACACACGUGCUACAAUGGUUAAGACAAAGGGUCGCGAGCUCGUGAGAGUCAGCUAAUCCCAUAAAUUUAGCCUAAGUUCAGAUUGUAGGCUGCAACU